This 291-nucleotide ribosomal RNA is filed under the name uncultured bacterium. RNAcentral's name for it is "partial 16S ribosomal RNA". It matches the Rfam family "Bacterial small subunit ribosomal RNA", at positions 505 to 796 of the family's 1533-position model. The record is from RNAcentral.
GUGCCAGCAGCCGCGGUAAUACGUAGGGGGCAAGCGUUGUCCGGAAUUAUUGGGCGUAAAGCGCGCGCAGGCGGUUUUUUAAGUCUGGUGUAUAAACCUGAGGCUCAACCUUGGGACGCAUUGGAAACUGGGGAACUGGAGUGUAGGAGAGGAAAGUGGAAUUCCACGUGUAGCGGUGAAAUGCGUAGAUAUGUGGAGGAACACCAGUGGCGAAGGCGACUUUCUGGCCUAUAACUGACGCUGAGGCGCGAAAGCGUGGGGAGCAAACAGGAUUAGAUACCCUGGUAGUCC